CAGUAGCCACGGGAAUACGAGGGGGGCAAGCGUUGUUCGGAAUUAUUGGGCGUAAAGGGUGCGUAGGCGGUUUGAUAAGUCAUCUGUGAAAUCUAUGGGCUCAACCCAUAGUCUGCAGGCGAAACUGUCGGGCUUGAGAGUGGGAGAGGUGAGUGGAAUUUCCGGUGUAGCGGUGAAAUGCGUAGAUAUCGGAAGGAACACCUGUGGCGAAAGCGGCUCACUGGACCAUUUCUGACGCUGAUGCACGAAAGCUAGGGGAGCAAACAGGAUUAGAUACCCCGGUAGUCCCUGUCUCUUAUAC
This 301-nucleotide ribosomal RNA is filed under the name uncultured bacterium. RNAcentral's name for it is "partial 16S ribosomal RNA". It matches the Rfam family "Bacterial small subunit ribosomal RNA", at positions 509 to 807 of the family's 1533-position model. The record is from RNAcentral.